AGAGUGGUAGGAGACAGAGAAUGAAUAUAUGGUCCUGUCCUUUAGAGGUUAAGGGGUGGGGGGGAAAUAGCAUUUCAAUGAGAUGAGUAUGAAUUUCAUAAAGAUGAUGAAAAACCUAACAGGCAUACUAUUCAGCUUGUCGAACAGCAUGACAUAUGUAAGCUUCAAAAUUGUUCUCAUCAUCCACAAGGGGACAGCACUGGCUGCCAGACUAGAAACACACAGUUUCCACAUGAAGAGGCAAAAUGAGAGCAGCCAUUGCUGCAGCUACCAAAACAGAGGUGAUAUUCCAUCUCUUCUUUGAAAUGGGGGGUCUAGAAAGAAGGAGUGACAAAGACCUCGAGAUAGAAGGCUGUCAGGUGCCAGAAAACAUGAAACGGUGGGAUAGGCUUUAAAUUUGAAGGUUAAACAUGCACACAACACACUCAAGUCAUAUGAAAUUGUGGAGAUGAAACAUAACAGAAAACAAUUGUUCAAACAGGUAUAUCAGUGAUCUAACAACUCUGUACAUGUGUGGAAGAAAAUUCUUCACACAAGAGGAAGCUGUUUUACUACAUUUUUCCUUUUGUUUUCUUUCAAUUAGCACAGCUCAAAUAAAUGUAGUCUAAAUUACUUUAAA
Long non-coding RNA from Podarcis raffonei (Aeolian wall lizard), 619 nucleotides. RefSeq lists it as uncharacterized. NCBI's taxonomy places the organism in Eukaryota, Metazoa, Chordata, Lepidosauria, Squamata, Lacertidae. The transcript has 2 exons. The record is from RefSeq and is a predicted model, not a curated record.